AAAGUGCGUUAAAAUGGAUAAUUUAUAAUCAUUCAUCUUGUGAUAGGAAGUGUGCGAUGCAAAAAAAUUGUCACAAAAUUCAACAGGAACACAAAGAAAAAUAGUUUAUUACUACAAAAAAAAACAACGAGAUAUUGUCAUGCGCUCUUAAUUGCGCCCCGCCGAAGGGGCGCACAUUUAGUGGACCGCGGGUAUAUAGUGUUUGUUUUAUGUAUGGGAGAAGUUUUUUUCUUACUCUCAACUUCGCGGGGGAACUUCGGCUCGAACAUCCAACCUAGGUUUGAUAUAACACAACCUGUGUGUUUGGUACCAUCGAGACAAAAAUAACACUGAUCGAGCAAAACUUAUCUUGUCUCGGUUUCUUUGUUGUCUCUGAAGAUUUGACUGCCAUAAAAAAUAUUAAUCGAGAUUCUUUUGUUAUGUUAAUUUAAAGCUUUGUAGUAUUGUCUCGUUUAAUAUGCUUAAAUGUCACUGCAGCCCACGUGAAUUUAUCUUCAAGAAAAGGUUGGUUUUUCUUUGUCCAAGUUGUUUCGAAACUUGUUAACAAUCAUUUGUUAUGAAACCAUGCACCAUCAGCAUUUUCGAAAAAUCUUUAACGAGAGAAAUUUUUAAGGAUUUUAUUGGUAACUUAACAGAGUAAUAAUUCAUUGAAAUUGAAAUUGUUCAGAAGUUAUUAUAUAUAUUCGAAUCGUGAAGUUCAUACAUAGCAAUCCUGCAUCCUGGAAUUUUCGAGAUCAGUUAUAAAAAAAUCCAGUUAAAGUUUUAACUAUUGUUUUAGAAUAUAUACUAUAUAUAUGUAAAAAAAAAAUUAUUUUUUAUUUAUCAAGUUGUAUUUUACGUUAAUUACAAUAAUAAUUGAGAAUUAGGAUA
Long non-coding RNA from Hydractinia symbiolongicarpus, 870 nucleotides. RefSeq lists it as uncharacterized. The transcript has 2 exons. The record is from RefSeq and is a predicted model, not a curated record. NCBI's taxonomy places the organism in Eukaryota, Metazoa, Cnidaria, Hydrozoa, Anthoathecata, Hydractiniidae.